UCUAUUCCUUUCCUCCUUCACCAUUUGCCUCUCCCCAGGUUUCCCUUUGCCCUCCCUGCCUACCCCCUUUCCCUGCUUCUCUUUUCCCAUCCAUUCUCCCUCCCUUUAGCCUGUCUCUCCAUCUCUUUCCUCCCUUUAGCCUGUCUCUCCAUCUCUUUCCUCCCUUUAGCCUGUCUCUCCAUCUCUUUCCUCCCUUUAGCCUGUCUCUCCAUCUCUUUCCUCCCUUUAGCCUGUCUCUCCAUCUCUUUCCUCCCUUUAGCCUGUCUCUCCAUCUCUUUCCUCCCUUUAGCCUGUCUCUCCAUCUCUUUCCUCCCUUUAGCCUGUCUCUCCAUCUCUUUCCUCCCUUUAGCCUGUCUCUCCAUCUCUUUCCUCUCCCCUAAUUUACUCCUUCUCUCAAGGCAUCAGAAUUUUCCCCCCCUCCUUCCAUUCUUCAUUACAUUCAGUGGCUUUAACACAAUAUCCGUCUGAUUGGAGUGAAAUUGACCACCUAUUGGCCGAGCUGAACAAAAGGAGAGAGAAUUUUCAGACCCCCCCCCGGCUCGGUGGCCACACUUGCCGUUGGGAGCCAGACGAGAGGCUUCUCGCCGUCACUGAUCAUUAAAGGCAACGCUGGGCUCUCAUGGUGGAGCCAUCACACUAAACUGAACAAGAUGCAGGAUUACUCAGUGCCAGGGAUUUUAUUUCUGCUCAGCAAUGUCUCUCGUUGGUUCAGCUCCCAUUAGGCAACACUGUGCUAAAAUGGUGCCUGAGAGCUCAGUGAAUAACGAGAGCUGCCGCCGCUGCACGGUUGCUGUCCUGUCGGCAGCUCGACGCAUUUCAAGCAGAAGCCGUUUCUUGCAGGUGAACUAAACACCUGCUCCCAGGCUCCGACACUUGCAGAUGUUCCCCGAGUCACUCCCUGCGCCGACGCUUCUCCCACCAACCUUUCAACCGCCGCCGACGCCGGCCGAGACACAGAAUGGUGUCCGUUACACACAGCCAUUGUGCUAAUUGCAGAGGUGUCGAGCGUGAAAAAAAAAAAAAAAAGACUGUUUAAAGGGAAAGUAAGCUUAAAUAUAAAAUGGAAUUGAUGUAGCAAUAAAAGAAUUAUAUAUAUAUAUAUUAAUUGCAGAGGUGCUUAUGAAGUGAUAUUUAGUUUUUUUUAUUUGUUGCAGAAUUAAUUACAUGUUCCUGAUGCUUUCAAGUUUAUUGAUUAUAAAUGGUUAACUGCUUGUUUGCCUGCAAGGGGGUUAAUCUCCAUUUCCCAUGACAUUUCGUACUCUGUGCUGCCAUUAGGGUGUUGUAGUUCAGCCCACUGUCUGUGCCCCCCCCCAUAAAUUGCCAUUAGUGGACUAGUCCAGCUCACUGCUUGAGUUACAACUGCCCCAGCCCCUCAAGGGUGCCAUCAGUUUGCUCUGUUCCCACCCACUGCUUUAUUAUUGGCAGUUUAUUGACCAAUCUAUAGUCUGCCUGACAGAUAUAUGGCCCCAAAUUGGCUGAUCCUGAUUUUUAUUCUGUAACCCUGUAAAUUUGUUAAAUUGUGUGUUACACAUUAAUGCAAAAUGCUAUUUAAAUAAAUGCUCAGCUUUG
Long non-coding RNA from Xenopus tropicalis (tropical clawed frog), 1569 nucleotides. RefSeq lists it as uncharacterized. The record is from RefSeq and is a predicted model, not a curated record. Lineage: Eukaryota; Metazoa; Chordata; Amphibia; Anura; Pipidae. The transcript has 2 exons.